CGGCGGGCGGGGCGUGGCGCCUUUCCCGUGGUGCCGCGGGAGCGGCGGCCGCAGCGGCCGCGAUUUCGUCCGGGUCCCGCAAGUACCGGGACGGCGGGGCCGGGCGGCGGCCGGGGGACGCGGGAGCGGCCGCGGGGUCGGAGCGCGCCGGGGGGAGGGUGGAGGCGGAGGGACUGAGCCGAGGGGCCCGUACGGGCGGGUGCGGGGCCUCGGCCCGGCCUCUCCGCCGCCUUUGCCGCGGGCCCGGUUCAUUGUCCUUAUUCCCCUCAUCCAUGCCUUUUUCCCCUCGUUCUCCCCCGCUCUCCUCCAGGCUCACUGGAAGGUCCGGAAGUGCCGCCCCCGGGAGCCGUCGGCGCCAGGGCUUUAUUAUAACACCAGGACCUUUUGGGCUCCAGCCUGCAAACCUCUGCAGCAUUGGGACAUGGAGAGAAAGCACAAGAGAGCAAGGCUGAGGCUGUUCUCAGAGCCUGAUGUAAUUACUGAUGGGUUCUUCGUUAGCUGCCCAGCACUGCCCCAAUUGCCUCUGUGCUGCAAGGAACAGGAUGCACAGACAGCACUGCAGCUCUUCGUAAGUUUAGAGCAAACCUCAUCAGACCAGUGGGAAAACCUACAGCCCUGGCAAAACCUGUGUUCCCACUGGAUUGCCAUGACUCAGUGAACGCCAUUGUGUUGCAGAAAUUCUGAAAUGGAGCCAAGAAAUUCCAAGAUUACCUUCUUAAAAUAAAAAUACCCACUAAACUGCUUGUCCUUCA
This 752-nucleotide long non-coding RNA is filed under the name Chloebia gouldiae (Gouldian finch). RNAcentral's name for it is "Erythrura gouldiae (Gouldian finch) lncRNA (ENSEGOG00005010061.1)". Lineage: Eukaryota; Metazoa; Chordata; Aves; Passeriformes; Passeridae. The record is from RNAcentral.